Molecule: ribosomal RNA, 266 nt
Filed under: uncultured soil bacterium
Lineage: Bacteria
Description: partial 16S ribosomal RNA
Rfam family: Bacterial small subunit ribosomal RNA
Source: RNAcentral
AGAAUCAACGCUGGCGGCGUGCCUAACACAUGCAAGUCGAACGCGAAAGUCCCGCAAGGGAUGAGUAGAGUGGCAAACGGGUGAGUAACACGUGGGUGACCUGCCUUCGAGCGGGGGAUAACGUCCCGAAAGGGACGCUAAUACCGCAUGACAUCCUGCCUUUGAAGAGGUGGAGAUCAAAGUUGGGGAUCGCAAGACCUAGCACUCGAAGAGGGGCCCGCGCCUGAUUAGCUAGUUGUGGGGUAACGCUCACCAAGGCGACGAUC